RNAcentral lists this ribosomal RNA (236 nucleotides) under uncultured bacterium. RNAcentral's name for it is "partial 16S ribosomal RNA". It matches the Rfam family "Bacterial small subunit ribosomal RNA", at positions 99 to 334 of the family's 1533-position model. The record is from RNAcentral.
CGGACGGCUGAGUAACGCGUAGGUGACCUGCCCCGAAGUGGGGGAAGUAAACUGCCCGAAAGGGUGGCUAAUACCGCAUGUGGUGGAUCGUUCGUUCGGUCCAUCAAAGCAGUAAUGCGCUUCGGGAGGGGCCUGCGUCCGAUUAGCUCGUUGGUGGGGUAACGGCUCACCAAGGCGACGAUCGGUAGGUGGUCUGAGAGGACGAUCACCCAGACUGGGACUGAGACACGGCCCAG